Molecule: non-coding RNA, 22 nt
Filed under: Mus musculus (house mouse)
Lineage: Eukaryota; Metazoa; Chordata; Mammalia; Rodentia; Muridae
Source: RNAcentral
UACACAGCAUCAUGUGCAGCCU